RNAcentral lists this ribosomal RNA (4159 nucleotides) under Rhodotorula taiwanensis RS1. Its description in RNAcentral is "bacterial LSU rRNA". It matches the Rfam family "Bacterial large subunit ribosomal RNA". Lineage: Eukaryota; Fungi; Basidiomycota; Microbotryomycetes; Sporidiobolales; Sporidiobolaceae. The record is from RNAcentral.
UACAUCGAUGAGAUAAGUAUCGAUAUCAAUGUGGAAUCUAUCGUCAAGUGACUAAAGGGAUUGUUAGGGAUGACUAGCAAGCGUAUCAGAAGAGAAGUGGAAACACUAAAUGGACUAAACACGUCCGAUCUCAAGGGAAACCAUAUAGCACAUAUGUGUAUGACUACGGACUGAACCGAAACAUCGUAGUAAGUCUAGGAAAGGAAAUCAACCGAGACCCUGUCAGUAGCGGCGAGCGAACGCAGGAUAGCCUAGUAAUAGUGACUAGUAGAUCCAAUACUCUGGAAUGGGUAGAAGCAUAGUAAUAUGUACCAUAGAAGGUUAUAGUCCUGUAGAACUACUACUCUAUUACAACUAGCUAAGGACCUUAAUUUCGUAUGAAGUUCUGGCAUCUUAGUGAGUAGGGCGGCAUCAAACCUGCCCGAAUAAGGGUGCACCAUCAUCCAAGGCUAAGUAUGAUACGUUUAGCGAUAGUGAAUAGUACUGUGAAGGAAUUCUCCGGUUGUACCGGUUAAUCAUUGUAUUUUGCAGCAAACAGCGGGUUUUAUGGCUCCAUACUAUACAUCUACUAACCAAUGAAACAAACAAACACAAGCCUUUUAGCUAUUCUAGCUACUCUAGUUACGUCAUGCGUAAUCUAUAAUUUACCUCUGGAAUUUGUAUCGCUACCAUCAUACAUCAAGUGUUUCCCUGACUUAACAAGCAUGGAACAUAUUGAUGCACUACGAUUUGCAUACAAGGGUACUUACUUUGGUCUAGUGUAUGGUAUUUAUAAUACAUUUACUCACCAGAUCUAUGUAGGUAGUACCCAAGAUCCUAGUACCCGAUUCUACUCUCAUCUAGUGUCAGGAGUCAACAGUAACGUUCAUCUUCGUAAUUCUAUUGCUAAGUAUGGGCUUGCUAACUUCUGUGUCAUUAUCUUUGAAGUGUUAGCAAUUGGUGCUAAUUUCACUCCAUUCCAUCUAUUCGCGCUGGAACAGAAGUACUUAGACUACUACCCUAAGCGUCAAAAGUAUAAUGUUAACCUCAUUGCAGGUGGUGGUCGACUGCCUAUGACAGAGGCAGAAAAACUAGAUACAAGCAAACGUAUGAUGGGUGUGAAUGUAGGCCGAGCUCCUAUCAACAAGGGGAAGAAGCUUACAAAAGCUGCCAAAGACGUAAUUUGGAAGGCUUCCGCUCAUCGACGUCACAUUGUAUACAUUUACGAUGACAUGCUUAACUUAGUAGGAAUGUAUCCUUCUAUUUCUCAGGCAGUACGUGUAGAACACACUCAAAAGAAUGUAUUCAUCGAUCAUAUGAAGAAUGGUACAUUAUGGCGAGGCUACUACGUAACUAAAGUUCCUAAACAUUAGGACUUACUUCACCCCCUUUUUCCGUUUCAUUGUUAGUAAUAGUAGCUGCAUGUACAUAAUUAAUUUCCUAGUUAUGAAGUAAUUCAUAACAUUGCACCAAGCUAAAUUCUGGAAAGCUCUAAGGACCAUAGUACUACUAGAGUAGUUCCAACUAAUGGUAUGAACAAUGAGUGAUCAGCAGGUAACGUAUACCUCAGAGACUACAAGCAGGCUCCUGUAAGCCAUCUAAUUCAGUAUGGCGAUCAGGAUGAAGAUAUAGUCCGAGGUUGGAUAGAUCAAAUGCUAUCAGCGAUAGUGACAGAUCUCCAACUUUGAAGUUUAAAAGAAAGUCGAUGACUAGUGAAAUAGAGCCUGAACUAGCAAUCCUAUAAGCAGACAGAGCAUUAAUAUGUGAUGUCGUACCUUUUGCAUAAUGGGUCAGCAAGUUUGUGUUGCAGGUAAGGUGUGAGCCCUAGCGAAAGCGACUAUCUGUGAUCGCAAUCACGGAUGGGUUAAAUCUGCAGUACAAGACCCGAAACAUCUUGAUCUAUCCAUGGGCAGGUAUAUAGGACCGAACCAGUGUACGUUGCAUAGUACUUGGAUGACCUGUGGAUAGGAGUGAAAUGCUAAUCUAAAGAUGUGAUAGCUGGUUCUCUGCGAAAUGCAUUGCAGUGCAGCGUCAAUGUAAGGUUAUGGUAGGUACAGCACUGAUUGACAUACGGUUAUACCGUAGACUAGGGGGGCGUAACAGCUCUAUCUAGGUCAGUUAACCUCGGAAUGACCAUAAGUGAUCAUUGGCAGUGAGUCCUAGGGUGAUAAGGUCUUAGGACGAGAGGGAAACAGCCCAAACAGUGUGUUAAGGUCCCAAAGAUAUUGACAAGUGAAAUUAAGGAAGUGCAUUGCUUUAGACAGCCAUGAUGUGGGAUUGGAAGCGUCCAUCAUUUAAAGAAAGCGUAACAGCUCAGUGGUCUAUCUCUAAAGUAAUUUAGAAUGGCAGUGUGCGCCGAAGAUAUACCGGGUCUAAUCAAUACACCAAUACCACUGUCUAGUAUCUAUAUUCAUUAUCGAUACUAAGAGGUAGCAGAGCGUCCAGUACCUAUGAAGAGCAGUAUGUUAUUGUUUGGAGGUCACUGGAGUGAGGAUGCUGGCAUGAGUAGCAAGAAUGGAUGUUAAAUCAUCCACACCGAAAGAGGAAGGGUUCUGAGGGCAAGUUACACUGCCUCAGGUCAUAAGCGGUGUCUAAGGAGUUAGCCAAUGCGAAGCUCUGAUGAUUAUGUUGCAGAACGGGCUCAUUACUGAGACCCAGGAAAAUAAUGCAACUUUACUACCGUACCUUAAACCGACACAGGUCCUCGGGUAGAGUAUACUAAGGUGACGAGAUAACCAAGCUUAAGGAACUCGGCAAACUGAUCUCGUACGUUCGACAAUAAGAGAUGCCUUUGUACUGUUUAGGCAGUAUGAGGGUGGCACAGAAUCAGGGAGUGCGACUGUUUACUCAAAACACAGCAGCCUGCUAACACUAACGUGGUCGUAUAGGUUGUGAUUCCUGUCCGGUGUCUCGCGAUAAAGUUAUGAUGUGUAUGGCUUACCAUGUACAUUGAACUAGAAGUCGAGAUAAACGACGGUCUUAACUAUAAGGAUCCUAAGGUAGCAAAAUGCCUUGGCCACUAAUUAUGGUCUUGCAUGAAUGGAAUAGAUUAUCGCAGUUCCAUGGCUCCAUGCAACUAUCUUUGAGGAAACUCAAAAAUAUAGGAAUGAGCCAAUAAUGUCAAUAUAUGCUGGAAUGGCUUGAUAUCUAAUUGCUCAAAAUGAGAUACACUAUUAGAUUUAGCUGAUCAGCAGUGGUACAUAAUACCACUCAGAGACUUUCAUGACACAUAUGAACUUCAUAUGAUUGUAGAGUCCUGGAGAGAAGAAAUUCUCUCUUGAGCGAUGCUCCUACUGUCUUAAGCUUGGGCUCGGUGAAAUUGAAUUAGCCGUGCAGAUGCGGUUUACCACCAGAUAGACGGGAAGACCCUAUGCAACUUUACUAUAGCUAGGCAUUGUACUAGGCCAUCACUUGUCACAGGUAUGAGGUAGCUGAUAAAGCGUAAGUGAGAGACCUCAACAAGUCAUGGUCAGACUUACCUUGGUAAUAAGCCAAGGGACAUUGCCUAGUGGGUAGUUUUACUGGGACGGUACCCUCCAAGAAAGCAUCGGAGGGGUCCAAUAGGUACACAUAGCUUAGCCGGAGACUAAGUGGCUAUGAAGAGCCAAUAACAGCAUAAUGGCAAAAGUGUGCUAAACUGUAAGACUGACAGGUCAAUCAGGUACGUAAGUAGGGCAUAGUGAACCGAUAGUAUGUUAUGGUACAGCUAUCGUUCAUCGGAUAAGUUACGCUAGGGAUAACAGGCUGAUAGCGCGAAAGAGUUCAUAUCGUAAGCGCUGUUUGGCACCUCGAUGUCGACUCAUCACAUCCUCCUGGUGUAUCAGCUAGGAAGGGUUCAACUGUUCGUUGAUUAAAGUGGUACGUGAGUUGGGUUUAAUACGACGUGAGUCAGUAUAGUCCCUAUCUUCUGGUGGGACAUGUAGACGAAGAAGAACAUCUGGUUAGUACGAAAGGACCAUCAGGUGCGCACCUCUGGUGUAUCUGCUAUAGUUCAUUGACUGUACUGCAGAGUAGCUACGUGCGUUAAGGAUAAGACCUGAAAGCAUAUAAGGUCGAAGCUGCUCUUUGGAGGCUAAACAGCAACGGGAUGUAGACCACGUCCUUGAUAGGUCACAUGUGUAAGCUCCGUUAAGGAGUGAGCUGAGUGAUACUAAUGUGUUGCAUGACUUGACGAUACCAC